RNAcentral lists this long non-coding RNA (312 nucleotides) under Capsicum annuum. Its description in RNAcentral is "long non-coding RNA (CANN_LNC019268)". The record is from RNAcentral. Lineage: Eukaryota; Viridiplantae; Streptophyta; Magnoliopsida; Solanales; Solanaceae.
ACGGUCAUAUUUUUCCCCUCUCUUUCUCUCUCAAGACUAACUCUUUUUUUCCUCUCUCACUUCUUGUCUCUCCCUUUUUCGGUGACUUUACCAGACCGUCAUUGCCGCUGUAAAAUACCAAAAACAGCCAACACCACCUCAGUCGCACCUCUCAAACUCUUUCUCUCUCAAACACUCACCAUGAUAGGCGUAUCACCACCACCGGUGAACCGCCGUCGGUGGACCAUUUCCUUCUCUAAACCACCGGCGAGCAUCGAAAAACCACGCCGUCACAACAACGACCAUAAGCCUCCAAAACUCUAACAAAAUUAG